Molecule: ribosomal RNA, 253 nt
Filed under: uncultured bacterium
Lineage: Bacteria
Description: partial 16S ribosomal RNA
Rfam family: Bacterial small subunit ribosomal RNA
Source: RNAcentral
UACGGAGGUUGCAAGCGUUAUCCGGAUUUAUUGGGUUUAAAGGGUGCGUAGGCGGGUUUAUAAGUCAGCGGUGAAAGACUGUCGCUUAACGAUAGCAUUGCCGUUGAUACUGUAGAUCUUGAGUACAUUUGAGGUGGGCGGAAUGAGUAGUGUAGCGGUGAAAUGCUUAGAUAUUACUCAGAACACCAAUUGCGAAGGCAGCUCACUAAACUGUAACUGACGCUGAGGCACGAAAGCGUGGGGAUCAAACAGG